Molecule: long non-coding RNA, 1259 nt
Organism: Petromyzon marinus (sea lamprey)
Lineage: Eukaryota; Metazoa; Chordata; Hyperoartia; Petromyzontiformes; Petromyzontidae
Source: RefSeq, a predicted model, not a curated record
UGGAGCCUAGAGACCCUGCACCUGGGGCAAUUUCAAGCAUUCUGUCUGGAGUUGUCAGUGUCAAUGGUCCCUUGACAGUCAUGCAAGCCCUGCACUUUGGUGGUUCAUUCUUCAUGCAGGUCGCCUUCAGAGUCCGCUCUGGGUUUCCAUCUUCUCCUGCGCACAACCCUGCCACCUGUGUACACAGAGACACACACAACACCAACCAUUGCCUCCUUCUUCUUCACACGUGCUCCAGGGAUUCUCCCAUCUCCUAAUUGCAUGCACCUCCAAUUUGGACACCGGGAGAAACACGUUACAACAUAUAUCUGUACGUACAUUUUCACGGCGAUUUAUCGCUUACCUAUGCCAGGAUUUGAACGUUGCACCUCCGAACGCCAAGGUUUGCUCUCUCCAUCACUCUGAGCCACCGUGUCCUCGCUUAGAAGCAAUGUGCUCUGUGUGGUGUAGUGAGAGGCGCCAGAGGCAUCGUCAUUUAUAAUUUAUCCAGAAAAAGCAUUGUGGGGUUUGAACGCCGGAAACCAGCGCCCAGAGGCAGUGUUAUAAUCCUCCACACGACAAGGGUUUAGUGGGCAUAAAUAAUGUUUUGGUUAUUAAAUCAUUUUAAUUAGAACAUAAUUUCACACGUAUUAUUUACAUUAUUAAAAAAAUAUAUAUACAAAGUUUCCUUCAUGUGUGUGUAUGAUUUAAAUUAGCAAAAAAUAUAUAAAGUGAAAAUCUUCGAUUUGAAUUUCAGUACCCCAUGACUCAGAGCACUCAAGUGCCUCCCCAAUCAGCCACUGUGUGUCCACCGACGGCACAGAACCCGAUUUGGUAUCGUUGCUGUGCCUGCACGGCAUGUGGCUGUAAAAAAUUUUUGGGAGCAAUUAACAUCCAUCACUUAAAAGGAAUGUCAUAGCACGCGUGACGUGCGUUGAUGUCAUCACACAGAAGCAACGUAAUGACCGUCUAUCGUCAAGCAACAUAUACAUAACCUAGUAAAAUACUUAAUUAGUGCUGGGUAUCGAACUCAGGUCACCUGCGUCAAAGGCAGCCGUGCUAUCCACUAUGCCACAAGGGAUUUGUGGCAGGCAUAAAUGUUCUAGUUAUUAAAUCAUUGUGAUUUUCAUGCCCUUUAAAUACAUGCGAUAAAUGUAGUUACCCUGUGGGGGUCCAGUUAACGUGUGCACGUUCAUGUAGUUGGGGGGCGUACGUAAAUGACGUCACGCGAUUUUUGACGAUUUUUGACCCCCCCCCCCUCGUCACCCGGCAUCACAAAA